UCGCCAGACUCCUACGGGAGGCAGCAGUGAGGAAUAUUGGUCAAUGGGCUCACGCCUGAACCAGCCAAGUCGCGUGAGGGAAGACUGCCCUAUGGGUUGUAAACCUCUUUUGUCAGGGAGCAACGCCGGCUACGUGUAGCCGGACUGAGAGUACCUGAAGAAAAAGCAUCGGCUAACUCCGUGCCAGCAGCCGCGGUAAUACGGAGGAUGCGAGCGUUAUCCGGAUUUAUUGGGUUUAAAGGGUGCGUAGGCGGAAUGCCAAGUCAGCGGUAAAAUUUCGGGGCUCAACCCCGUCGUGCCGUUGAAACUGACGCCCUUGAGUGAGUGAGAAGUAAGCGGAAUGCGUGGUGUAGCGGUGAAAUGCAUAGAUAUCACGCAGAACUCCGAUUGCGAAGGCAGCGUACCGGCGCCCAACUGACGCUGAAGCACGAAGGCGUGGGUAUCGAACAGGAUUAGAUACCCCAGUA
RNAcentral lists this ribosomal RNA (467 nucleotides) under uncultured bacterium. Its description in RNAcentral is "bacterial SSU rRNA". It matches the Rfam family "Bacterial small subunit ribosomal RNA", at positions 328 to 792 of the family's 1533-position model. The record is from RNAcentral.